This 253-nucleotide ribosomal RNA is filed under the name uncultured bacterium. Its description in RNAcentral is "partial 16S ribosomal RNA". It matches the Rfam family "Bacterial small subunit ribosomal RNA", at positions 524 to 776 of the family's 1533-position model. The record is from RNAcentral.
UACGUAGGGUGCGAGCGUUAAUCGGAAUUACUGGGCGUAAAGCGUGCGCAGGCGGCUUUGUAAGCCAGAUGUGAAAUCCCCGGGCUUAACCUGGGAAUGGCAUUUGGGACUGCAUCGCUGGAGUGCGGCAGAGGGGGAUGGAAUUCCGCGUGUAGCAGUGAAAUGCGUAGAUAUGCGGAGGAACACCGAUGGCGAAGGCAAUCCCCUGGGCCUGCACUGACGCUCAUGCACGAAAGCGUGGGGAGCAAACAGG